GAGAAAGAGAAUAAGAGCGAACGGAGGAUGCCUAGGCUUCUGAAGGCGAGGAAGGACGUGGUAAGCUGCGAAAAGCUCCGGGGAUCUGCAAACAGGAAUUGAUCCGGAGAUGUCCGAAUGGGGGAACCCCCAUGGUUGAAGACCAUGGACCAGCAUUUGCUGGGGCAAACGCAGGGAACUGAAACAUCUUAGUACCUGCAGGAAGAGAAAGAAACAUCGAUUCCCUUAGUAGUGGCGAUCGAACGGGGAAGAGCCUAAACCGG
This 263-nucleotide ribosomal RNA is filed under the name Bacteroidales bacterium. RNAcentral's name for it is "partial 23S ribosomal RNA". It matches the Rfam family "Bacterial large subunit ribosomal RNA", at positions 1 to 277 of the family's 2925-position model. Lineage: Bacteria; Pseudomonadati; Bacteroidota; Bacteroidia; Bacteroidales. The record is from RNAcentral.